AAUUUUGGACAAUGGGUGAAACCCUGAUCCAGCCAUCCCGCGUGCAUGCUUAAGGCCUUCGGGUUGUAAAGUACUUUUGGCAGAGAAGAAAAGGUACCUCCUAAUACGAGGUACUGCUGACUGUAUCUUCAGAAUAAGCACCGGCUAACUACGUGCCAGCAGCCGCGGUAAUACGUCGGGUGCAAGCGUUAAUCGGAAUUACUGGGCGUAAAGCGUGUGUAGGCGGUUCGGAAAGAAAGAUGUGAAAUCCCAGGGCUCAACCUUGGAACUGCAUUUUUAACUGCCGAGCUAGAGUAUGUCAGAGGGGGGUAGAAUUCCACGUGUAGCAAUGAAAUGCGUAGAUAUGUGGAGGAAUACCGAUGGCGAAGGCAGCCCCCUGGGAUAAUACUGACGCUCAGACACGAAAGCGUGGGGAGCAAAC
This 421-nucleotide ribosomal RNA is filed under the name uncultured bacterium. RNAcentral describes it as "partial 16S ribosomal RNA". It matches the Rfam family "Bacterial small subunit ribosomal RNA", at positions 360 to 773 of the family's 1533-position model. The record is from RNAcentral.